Molecule: ribosomal RNA, 620 nt
Filed under: Limosilactobacillus vaginalis
Lineage: Bacteria; Bacillati; Bacillota; Bacilli; Lactobacillales; Lactobacillaceae
Description: bacterial SSU rRNA
Rfam family: Bacterial small subunit ribosomal RNA
Source: RNAcentral
AAUGGGCGCAAGCCUGAUGGAGCAACACCGCGUGAGUGAAGAAGGGUUUCGGCUCGUAAAGCUCUGUUGUUGGAGAAGAACGUGCGUGAGAGUAACUGUUCACGCAGUGACGGUAUCCAACCAGAAAGUCACGGCUAACUACGUGCCAGCAGCCGCGGUAAUACGUAGUGGCAAGCGUUAUCCGGAUUUAUUGGGCGUAAAGCGAGCGCAGGCGGUUGCUUAGGUCUGAUGUGAAAGCCUUCGGCUUAACCGAAGAAGGGCAUCGGAAACCGGGCGACUUGAGUGCAGAAGAGGACAGUGGAACUCCAUGUGUAGCGGUGGAAUGCGUAGAUAUAUGGAAGAACACCAGUGGCGAAGGCGGCUGUCUGGUCUGCAACUGACGCUGAGGCUCGAAAGCAUGGGUAGCGAACAGGAUUAGAUACCCUGGUAGUCCAUGCCGUAAACGAUGAGUGCUAGGUGUUGGAGGGUUUCCGCCCUUCAGUGCCGGAGCUAACGCAUUAAGCACUCCGCCUGGGGAGUACGACCGCAAGGUUGAAACUCAAAGGAAUUGACGGGGGCCCGCACAAGCGGUGGAGCAUGUGGUUUAAUUCGAAGCUACGCGAAGAACCUUACCAGGUCUU